CUCAAAGACUGUGAAUGUCUCUACAAUUUUAACUGAGCUCAACCGUCUGUCUUUUUAUUUUUAUGCUUUUCUGCUUCUGCAAUGAAGAAUGUACCCCACAGAAAUACUAGUACUUUCUCCCAAUCCCUACCCCUUCACCCUAACCAGGAUAACUUCAGACUGGGUUUGAGAGAACUGUGAGAACUAAAAGCUAAUUUUCCUGGCUUAGAAAUUGUACGAUGACAUGUGCACAUCAUGACUUGUCCGUGGGAAUUGCCUUCCUCACUUUAAAUGUAAUCUUCAUGAUCCCAAUCCCAUUUCUGCUUAUGUUUUAUCAGAGACUGAUCUCAUCUUAGCCCAAUUUUGCUUCAGUCCUAAAAUAAUUUUCUGUUUAUGUUAAAAUCAUAGUAUCUUUAUAUGAAUAUUAAUGAGUAUGUUUCUAAAUCUCCACAUUGAGUGACAGAAAACAUUUACGAGGGGGAAAAAGAAAGUUCUUAGUCCAAAUGUGUCGGACAGAAUGAGAAGUUUUCCCAAGAGGCUGGCCUCUGAUGUUUGCACAUUCAGCCUGAGUAAACCACAUAAAUUAUACUCUGGGCACUGAAGGUGGUAGAAACAUCCUGUCAUUUCUUCAUAUGCCAAAAUGUCUGAUUGUAUCAACAAUUUGUACAGAUUGCUGAGAGUUUUCUUUCUAGAUCUUCUCUCCUCUUCUUUAUUUUCUGCUGCUUUAUUAAGACAGAUCUACAGUACAGGACAAGCAUUGGGUUGAAAGCUGGAUCACGUGAAUUCCUAGUUGUAGACCUUCUGCUGAAAAACAGGACACACAGAAGGUGAUAUCUAUGAAAAAUGGUCCCUCACCAGACGUGGGACCUGCUGGAACCUUUAUUUUGGACUUCCCAACCUCCAGAACUAUGAACAAUAAAUUGGUUUAUAAAUUACCCAGUCUAAGAGGAGAGAAUUUCAAAGUGAAGAGAUUACUUGAGAAAGCAUAAAAAGGUAAGAGAGCUGGGAACAAUAGUACAGACAGCUAAUACCUUCUGAAUGAUUAUUAUGUGCUAUGGUGUGAAUGUACCCUCCCAAAAUUCAUAUGUUGAAACUUAAUCACCAAUGUGAUAGUUUUUAGAGGUGGGAUAUUUAGGAUGUGAUUAAAUCAUGAGGGUGGAGCCCUCACGAAUGGGAUUAGCUCCCUUAUAAAACAGGUGUGAGGCAGCUGUCUACUGCCCUUUGACCCUUCUGUCCUUUCUGCCACGUGAGGAUACAGUAUCUCUUUCUUCUUGAGGAUGCAACAGCAAGGCACCAUCACGGAAGCAGAAAGCAGCUCUCACCAGAAACAAAACCUCUGGGUUCCUUGAUCUUGGACUCCCCAGCCUCCACAACUGUGAAAAAUACGUUUCUACUGCUUAUAAAUUACCCGGUCUGUGGUAUUUUGUUGUAGUUGCACAGACGGGCUAAGACAUUAUGUGUCAAGCACUACUUUAAGUGUUUAAUACAUUAACUCAUUUAAUCCUUGCAAUAGCUAUUAGGUUGGUACAAAAGUAACUGUGGUUUUUGCCAAUUACUUUUGCACCAACCUA
Long non-coding RNA from Papio anubis (olive baboon), 1550 nucleotides. The record is from Ensembl. NCBI's taxonomy places the organism in Eukaryota, Metazoa, Chordata, Mammalia, Primates, Cercopithecidae.